GACGAACGCUGGCGGCGUGCCUAAUACAUGCAAGUAGAACGCUGAAGAGAGGAGCUUGCUCUUCUUGGAUGAGUUGCGAACGGGUGAGUAACGCGUAGGUAACCUGCCUUGUAGCGGGGGAUAACUAUUGGAAACGAUAGCUAAUACCGCAUAACAAUGGAUGACACAUGUCAUUUAUUUGAAAGGGGCAAUUGCUCCACUACAAGAUGGACCUGCGUUGUAUUAGCUAGUAGGUGAGGUAAUGGCUCACCUAGGCGACGAUACAUAGCCGACCUGAGAGGGUGAUCGGCCACACUGGGACUGAGACACGGCCCAGACUCCUACGGGAGGCAGCAGUAGGGAAUCUUCGGCAAUGGGGGCAACCCUGACCGAGCAACGCCGCGUGAGUGAAGAAGAUUUUCGGAUCGUAAAGCUCGGUUGUAAGUCAAGAACGGGUGUGAGAGUGGAAAGUUCACACUGUGACGGUAGCUUACCAGAAAGGGACGGCUAACUACGUG
RNAcentral lists this ribosomal RNA (497 nucleotides) under uncultured bacterium. Its description in RNAcentral is "partial 16S ribosomal RNA". It matches the Rfam family "Bacterial small subunit ribosomal RNA", at positions 28 to 507 of the family's 1533-position model. The record is from RNAcentral.